AGUGAACGCUGGCGGUAGGCCUAACACAUGCAAGUCGAACGGCAGCACAGUAAGAGCUUGCUCUUACGGGUGGCGAGUGGCGGACGGGUGAGGAAUACAUCGGAAUCUACUUUUUCGUGGGGGAUAACGUAGGGAAACUUACGCUAAUACCGCAUACGACCUACGGGUGAAAGCAGGGGAUCUUCGGACCUUGCGCGAUUGAAUGAGCCGAUGUCGGAUUAGCUAGUUGGCGGGGUAAAGGCCCACCAAGGCGACGAUCCGUAGCUGGUCUGAGAGGAUGAUCAGCCACACUGGAACUGAGACACGGUCCAUACUCCUACGGGAGGCAGCAGUGGGGAAUAUUGGACAAUGGUCGCAAGCCUGAUCCAGCCAUACCGCGUGGGUGAAGAAGGCCUUCGGGUUGUAAAGCCCUUUUGUUGGGAAAGAAAAGCAGCAGGUUAAUACCCCGCUGUUCUGACGGUACCCAAAGAAUAAGCACCGGCUAACUUCGUG
This 492-nucleotide ribosomal RNA is filed under the name uncultured bacterium. RNAcentral's name for it is "partial 16S ribosomal RNA". It matches the Rfam family "Bacterial small subunit ribosomal RNA", at positions 29 to 507 of the family's 1533-position model. The record is from RNAcentral.